UACAGAGGAGCCAAGCGUUGUCCGGAUUGACUGGGCGUAAAGCGCACGCAGGCGGACGCGCGCGUGGGGUGUGAAAUCUGGCCGCUUAACGGCCAGGCGCCAUCCCAUACGGCGCGUCUGGAGCAAUGCAGAGGUCGGUGGAAUUCCCGGUGUAGCGGUGAAAUGCGCAGAUAUCGGGAAGAACACCUAUGGCGAAGGCAGCUCUCUGGGACGGUACUGACGCUGAGACGCGAAAGCGUGGGGAGCGAACAGG
RNAcentral lists this ribosomal RNA (253 nucleotides) under uncultured bacterium. Its description in RNAcentral is "partial 16S ribosomal RNA". It matches the Rfam family "Bacterial small subunit ribosomal RNA", at positions 524 to 776 of the family's 1533-position model. The record is from RNAcentral.